AGAAACAGCGGCUUAUAUGGCAUUGCUAGUUUGAAACAAGAUGAGUCUGCUAGGCAGGUAGAGUUGAAUUUUAAGUACAGACAGCUUUUGUGGGAAUUCUAUUCCAUGGAUCCCAAGAUGUCUUCCUCCAAUCCAAGCUCAGUUAUACUUUGUGAUUUAUGUUAACAAAACAUGUUAAUAUUUACUUUUAUAUGGAAAUAUAUUUAAAAACAGAACAGAACAAAACCAGAAACAUUUCACCAGAACAAUAUAUGACCGUGUGUAUAACUCCAGUGUGAACUUGUGAAGAACAGCUCAACUUGCCAGCCUGGCUAGCAUUAUCUGUUUAUGCAGUAUUUCCUGAACCUUCUCAUCCCAGUGAUGUAAGGGUGAGGAGUGGAGACGUGGGAAAAUGGUGAAUUCACUCGGCCUUCCUUUCUGGCUAGAAGAAAUCCACUUCUUGAAAAGCAGGUUAUCACAAAGAUAGCAGCUAUGUCCAUUUCUCACCUUAAGACAAAAUGGUUCUUGUCAU
This 511-nucleotide long non-coding RNA is filed under the name Gallus gallus (chicken). RNAcentral's name for it is "lncRNA (ENSGALG00010004363.1)". Lineage: Eukaryota; Metazoa; Chordata; Aves; Galliformes; Phasianidae. The record is from RNAcentral.